ACUUCGUUCCACGUUAAAUUACAAUGAUAGCAAAUUGUGGUGCUACCAAUAUUAUAAACGCUAUACAAGUGGACCGUUCUGAAGCAAAGUUUACGUCACGUAUGUAAGAAUACAGAACGCAGCGAUAACAAGAUGAAUGCUCUAUUAACAUAUAUCGUGAAAAGUUUUUUAAACUCCAUUAUUCAUACUUACGAUAAUGAAGAAGUGGAUAUUGUGAUGAGCACUGUUUUACUUCCAAAAGUCCAUAUUCCGAAAAUUGGAGGUUAUGUGGAACAUAUAAUUCCAUCACUUAGCAAUGAAUGUUUUAAACAGCAUUUUCGGAUGCUACCUUCAACUUUCGAAUAUGUUUUAAAUCAAAUUGGAAAUGAACUUUGUCGUAAAGCAGAUGGUAACAAGAUGAUAUCUCCGGACAAAGAACUUCUGUUAAGUUUUGGCGAUUUGAAACUCCAGAUUCAUAUAGAUCAAUAAUUGAAAGAUUUGGUGUUGGCAAAGCCACAGGUGUAAGAGCAGUACGUCGUGUUGCUAAGGCAAUAUGUGAAUUAUCACCGAGAUAUAUUACAUGGCCCACAGGGAAUAAAAUACAAGAAAUUACAUAUAAUUUCUCUUAUCAGAGUGCUUUCCUAAUAUUAUUGGUGCCAUAGAUGGCUCUCACAUAAAUAUUCCUGCACCUACAGAAAAUUCAGAAGCCUAUGUAAAUCGUAAAGGACGUCAUUCAAUUCAUCUCCAAGCUGUUUGUGAUCACGCAAGAUUACUCACACACAUCUAUGUUGGAAACGUAGGUUCGGUUCACGAUGCUCGUGUGUUCCGUCUAUCAUCCGUCCAGGAAUAUAUCAAUGAUGUUAAUAAGUUUCCAAAUGACACACAUAUAAUUGGAGAUUCGGCUUACGCAUUACAUCAACAUCUUUUGGUCCCCUAUGAAUGUCGAUAACGGUCAUCUUACUCAACAACAAAAAAAUUAUAAUUUUUGUCAUUCUUAUGCAAGAAUGGUUAUAGAAAGAGCGUUUGGUCUUUUAAAAAGACGCUGGAGAAGUCUUUUACAUGUUUUAGCAGUAAACGACAUAGAUUUUGUUCCUUAUCAUAUAUUAGCAUGCUGUGUAUUGCACAAUUUGUGUUUAUUGCAGAGGGAUGAACUAGAAUUAGAAGAGAUUUUUCUUCCAGAUAGAGAAGAAGUUAUAUUGCGAGAAGAAAUGCUUAUUGAUAAUAAUAGAUAUAUUGCAGAACUAAAAAGAAAUAAUAUAUGUGCAAAUCUUCGUAUGAGAAAUGGAUAAAAAAUAUCUGUUUCUCAUACAAAGAAGAAAUAUAAAAAUGCUAAUAUUUUGUUAAUGUAUAUAGAAAUAUGUUUUACCAUUUUACAAAUGUAUCAAUUUAUACUAAAAAUACACAAAUAAAUAAAUAUACUAUAUAUUAUAUGUACGAACAAUUUUAUUUUGAUAACAAAUAUUAAAUAUAUAUUAUUGUCUACAUUCACAGUCUUUUUAUAGGAAGGAUAUUAUUAAGUCUACAUUAUACAGUCUUUAUAAGAAGCAACGAAUAUUAUAUAUAGAAUAUAAGAAUAUUAAUUUAUAUUAUUUUUAAAAAAACAAAAACUUCAAUAUUAUUUAUAAAAGUUUUUAUAAAAGUUUUCAUCUUUGGUAGUGUAUAACAAAUGAAACUUAAGAAUACAUUUUGAAACUAAUAAAAAAAAAUCUUUGAUGAUAUUAAAAUAAUAAAAAAAUAAAACAAAAUGUAUGUAACAUCACAGAACUCUUAAAUCAUAAUUAAUUAAUCCAUAUUAUUAUUUCUCAACCAUUUUUCGUAAAAUAUCCAAUAGUUCAUCUUGACGUGACAUUGCGUCUUUAUGCAUUCUUUUAUGCUCAGUAAUACUUUCUUCAAGUAACUUCUCUAACAUGGUAUUGUUUUUGCCUAUAACCAUAAUAUAUCCAUUAUUUUUCCGUUAUUUACCGCUACCCAAGUAAAACAAAAAAUCAAGAUGACACCAAAAUUAGAUUAAAAUGAUAAUCAUUUUGACAUCAUUUUGGUGUCAUCUUGACUUUUUGUUUUUGUAAACAAUAUUAAAUUUUAAGUACUUAAACUUUAUAAGGAACGUAUAACGUGGACUAUAAAGUUUUAAUAUUAGCAGUAACUAACAAAAUCCAUUCAUCGUGUAUUAAUACCGCUUCUAAUCUCAAAGCUAUUACAGACUAUAAUAUAUAUAUAUCUAUUAUGUUUAUAAAUAUAUUACAAUAUAAUUUAAUAUAUAAAUUAAUGUAAUUAACGGAGACGUACGCAUACAUAUACAUUUAUUCUAAUAACACACAUAAAAUAUAUAUAAGUAGAAAAAAUUAAUAAUACUUACGCUUAGAAGGCAGUUUACUUUUGCAAGCCUUGUUUUUUGUAUCGUUAUUGUCAUUAGAAGUUAAAAUUGGAUGAUUGCUCUCUAAUGUACGAAUUGGAGUUAUCCAUGGUUUUUUACUACACUGUUCGUCCAUAAUCUAUAAUAUUGAAAAAUAUUAAUUUUCAUAUAAAAAUAAUAAUUGUAUACAAUAAAAAAAAA
RNAcentral lists this unclassified non-coding RNA (2533 nucleotides) under Monomorium pharaonis (pharaoh ant). RNAcentral describes it as "uncharacterized LOC105829624, transcript variant X2". Lineage: Eukaryota; Metazoa; Arthropoda; Insecta; Hymenoptera; Formicidae. The record is from RNAcentral.